This 789-nucleotide ribosomal RNA is filed under the name uncultured Actinomycetes bacterium. Its description in RNAcentral is "bacterial SSU rRNA". It matches the Rfam family "Bacterial small subunit ribosomal RNA", at positions 56 to 822 of the family's 1533-position model. The record is from RNAcentral. Lineage: Bacteria; Bacillati; Actinomycetota; Actinomycetes.
UGCAAGUCGAACGCGAAAGUUCCCUUCGGGGAACAAGUAGAGUGGCGCACGGGUGAGUAACACGUAGGUAAUCUACCUUUGGAUUGGGAAUAACACCGAGAAAUCGGUGCUAAUACCGAAUAAUGCAGCGGCACCUAAUGGUGACAGUUGUUAAAGCGGGGGAUCGCAAGACCUCGCGUCUAAAGAGGAGCCUGCGGCGGAUUAGCUAGUUGGUAAGGUAACGGCUUACCAAGGCGAUGAUCCGUAGCCGGCCUGAGAGGGCGGUCGGCCACACUGACACUGACAUACGGGUCAGACUCCUACGGGAGGCAGCAGUCGGGAAUUUUGGGCAAUGGGCGAAAGCCUGACCCAGCAACGCCGCGUGAAGGAUGAAAUCCCUCGGGAUGUAAACUUCGCAAGAACGGGAAGAAUAAGUCGGUGCUAACACCAUCGGCGAUGACGGUACUGUUUGUAAGCUCCGGCUAACUCCGUGCCAGCAGCCGCGGUAAUACGGGGGGAGCAAGCGUUGUUCGGAUUUACUGGGCGUAAAGGGCGCGUAGGCGGCCACCGCAAGUCGACUGUGAAAUCUCCGGGCUUAACUCGGAAAGGUCAGCCGAUACUGCGGGGCUAGAGUGCAGAAGGGGCAACUGGAAUUCUCGGUGUAGCGGUGAAAUGCGUAGAUAUCGAGAGGAACACCUGCGGCGAAGGCGGGUUGCUGGGCUGACACUGACGCUGAUUGUGCGAAAGCUAGGGGAGCGAACGGGAUUAGAUACCCCGGUAGUCCUAGCCUUAAACGAUGAAUGCUUGGUG